AUUUAUUUCCCGACAGUAGGGCAUUUGAUUGAAAAUUUGCUCAAAAAAUCAAAUGCCUCACCUAUGCCCGACCCCCCCCCCUCUCCCUCUGGGGCUUAACAUUGAUAGGUGCAUUAUAAGGAUACAUUGCUCAUUCAGAGAGAUAUUCACUGAGAAAACUUGUAAGAAAACAGGCCAUCCUGGAAAUGAGGUUUAUGUCUGUUUAUAAAACGAGACCUCAAGAGUCAACUGUUUUAAACAUUAUUACACUAGACA
Molecule: non-coding RNA, 255 nt
Organism: Paramuricea clavata
Lineage: Eukaryota; Metazoa; Cnidaria; Anthozoa; Malacalcyonacea; Plexauridae
Source: the annotation of a GenBank genome assembly